CCUCCCCCUAUUUUCCCAUUCACUCGUUCCUCCCCAAAAAAGUACAAUACAAACUUAAAAAAAAMCCCAAAAAAAWUUCAAGUCUAUAARAAAACGAUGUCAGAGGUUCGAGAUUUUUACUUAGUGAGAUUCACUCASRCACCAGAUUUU
RNAcentral lists this unclassified non-coding RNA (150 nucleotides) under Cakile maritima (European searocket). RNAcentral describes it as "partial external transcribed spacer". Lineage: Eukaryota; Viridiplantae; Streptophyta; Magnoliopsida; Brassicales; Brassicaceae. The record is from RNAcentral.